RNAcentral lists this transfer RNA (67 nucleotides) under Marmota monax (woodchuck). RNAcentral's name for it is "tRNA.Ala". The record is from RNAcentral. Lineage: Eukaryota; Metazoa; Chordata; Mammalia; Rodentia; Sciuridae.
GGUUAUGGCUCAGUGGUAGAGUGCUCGCCUCGCAUGUGCAAGGCCCUGGGUUCGAUCCUCAGCACCA